Molecule: ribosomal RNA, 460 nt
Filed under: uncultured bacterium
Lineage: Bacteria
Description: partial 16S ribosomal RNA
Rfam family: Bacterial small subunit ribosomal RNA
Source: RNAcentral
CCUACGGGAGGCAGCAGUGAGGAAUAUUGGUCAAUGGACGAGAGUCUGAACCAGCCAAGUAGCGUGAAGGAUGACUGCCCUAUGGGUUGUAAACUUCUUUUAUAUGGGAAUAAAACGUUCCACGUGUGGGGUUUUGUAUGUACCGUAUGAAUAAGGAUCGGCUAACUCCGUGCCAGCAGCCGCGGUAAUACGGAGGGUCCGAGCGUUAUCCGGAUUUAUUGGGUUUAAAGGGAGCGUAGGUGGAUUGUUAAGUCAGUUGUGAAAUUUUCCGGCUCAACCGGAAAAUUGCAGUGGAAACUGGCAGUCUUGAGUACAGUAGAGGUGGGCGGAAUGCGUGGUGUAGCGGUGAAAUGCUUAGAUAUCACGAAGAACUCCGAUUGCGAAGGCAGCCUACUAAACUGCCACUGACAUUGAUGCUCGAAAGUGUGGGUAUCAAACAGGAUUAGAUACCCUAGUAGUC